AAUUUGUUGCAAAUGUUCAAAUUUUCCUCAAACUCGUGUUUUUACAGAUGAUGAUUCCGAUAUAGAGAAUAUUUUCAAGAGAGGCAUGCCCUUGAUUGGAGAGGACUAUGGUUUAAAAGAUACCUCAAGCUUCAUAUUCCCCGGGAUGAGUUUAGUUCAGUGGAUGAACAUGCAGCAGAAUCAACAGUUCACAGCUAAUCAGUCUGGACUUUUCCCGGACGGGCUCUCUUCAACUAACCUACACGGUAACCUUGGAACUGACGACUGCUCCAAGCUGUUGAAUUUCCAAUCCCCGGCCUUUGCUUCCCAAAAUCUCCAACUCAGCAAAAUCAAUCAACAAGUUGGACAACUUCAACAGCAGCCGUCUUCUGCGUGGCCCCAACAGCAGCCGCUGCAGCAAAUGUUAACGUCUUCUAUAAACCCUAUAAAUAAUGGUGUAGCUCCUGACCAGAAUCCAUAUCAAAAUUCACAGCAAACAGCAAUUAUCUCCCAACAACUUCAGCAACAACAGUUAAUAAGAGGCAAUACACAAAUGCAGCAAAAUGUUCCCUCAGCAAACAAAAGUACAGUACCCAUGAUAUCUUUACCUCAGGACACUCAGUUUCAGCAACAUAUUGAACAACCAUCUAGCCUUGUGCAGAGGCCCCAGCAACAGCAGACAGAAAUGCAACAAACUCGGCCACAAUUUCCGCAGCCAAUCUCAAUACAAAAGCCACAAGGGAAACAGACAUCACAACAGAGUAUUUCGGAACAUCAGCUGCAAAUGCAGAUUCUCCAGAAACAUCAGCAGCAACAGCAGCUGCAACAGGUGCCGUCCCCUGUAAGUUCUUUUUUGGAGCCUCCGUUUUCCCAACAACAACAGGCUCUUCAACAAAACCAGCAAGCUCAGCAUUUCAGCAGCACCGGCUUUUCAGCAUCAACACUUGUGCAAUCACCACAAUUUCCUGUCAACCAACUCUACAGCCAGCAAAAGUCUACGUUCACUGUCAAAUCACAUUCCGAACCAGCUGAUGCGGCUGGCCCAUCAUGUUCAAUCGCACCUUGUACAAACAAUAUGCAAGCUUCGCUGUCGAACUUUCUGAACAGAAAUCAAUUGGGAUCAGCUGCAUUACUUGAUAAUUCGGUUAUUCAUCCUGUUCCUAGUUUAGCUCCAGAGUCUCAUAGCAAGGCUGAUAUCCUAAUAAAAAGUGAUUUACCUAGUUAUAAAGGACCGAAGCAGCCUAAAUACCGAAAUACAGCUAAAGAUCACUUGGAUGCAGCUUCAAGCGCAACAUCGUAUUGCUUGGAUGCUAGUGGGCGGCAGAACUUUUCUCUUGCUGGCUUGGAUGGUGACAUUCAAUCACAUCCCCAGAGCAGUCUUCCUUUCACAAGCAGUAUUGAUGGAUUGACACCUGAUGCUUUGUUGUCAAGGGGUUGUGAUUCCGGGAAGGAUAUCCAAAACUUGCUCUCUAAUUACAGUGGUAAUCCAAGGGAUAAUGAAACAGAAUUUUGCUCUGCUGGAAUCAAUUCUCAAACAUUUGGGUUGCCAAAGAUGUCAUUUAACGCCAGUUGUUCAAAUGAUGCUGGGAUCAAUGAGGCUGGUGUUUUAAAUAGUGGGUUGUGGCCAAACCAGAUUCAGCGUAUGCGAACAUACACAAAGGUCUCUCUCUCUCUCUCUCUCUCAAACACACUGUUACACACACACGCACACUCUUCAAACUGGUCACCUGCCAAGUUCCCCCGCCACAAAAAUAGAAAAAUGAAAAAAAAUUACAGCAUAAUAGAAUCCAUCUACAUUCUCUUUGAGAACACUUACACGAAGGAACCGUAAUAUGAAAUAAAUUUUAUCUAAUUUCUUUCCCUCUUCGUUUGGAGACAGCCUGAUUACUAGAAAUUAUGCAGGUUCAAAAACGUGGCUCUGUGGGUAGAACUAUUGAUGUCACUCGUUACAAGGGGUACGAUGAACUUAGGCAUGAUCUAGCCCGUAUGUUUGGUAUCAAUGGACUACUUGAAGAUCCACAACGAUCUGAAUGGAAACUUGUCUACGUAGACCAUGAAAAUGACAUGUUACUUGUUGGCGAUGACGCUUGGGAGUAAGUGUUUAGCAACUGUCCUUGUUAUCUUAGUUUUUCGUUGAAAGAACACAAAAAUAACUUUGAAAAUUUUUCUCAGUGAGUUUGUGAGCUGCGUUCAGAGUAUAAAGAUACUGUCCUCUGCUGAGGUACAACAAAUGAGUUUAGAUGGAGAUUUAGCUCAGCCUCCUGCCCCAAACCAAGCACUCAGUGGAACAGACAGUGGUAAUGCUUGGAGAGGACAGUAUGAUGAUAAUUCUGCCAACUCUUUUAAUCGGUGAAAGCAUUGCAGAGAUUAACUUUUAUCAGCAGGAAAUGUUAGAAGGUAGAUGUAAAUUUCUUGUACCAUCGAAUGUUAAAAAGCUUGUCUGAAAUUUUUUGAAGUGCUUGUGCAUUCUUGUAGAAGAAUCAAGAAAACUAUAUAUACUUGACGAAACAAACAAUUUUUUAUUCAACUUUAAAAAAGGGAAAAUUCAGUCCAGUGCCAUCAUUUUCAUUCCUAAAUGGAUGCAACUCCAUAUUCUUUGCACUAAAUUACGCUAAACUGACAGUUCAAGAAAAUAUUCAUUUAGGACUGGAAUUCUUUUGUGAGAUAUCAGAAACUGGAAAAUAAGGACACAGACAAGCAGCUCUUUAAACGACUACAAAGAACAACAAAUGGUUCUCGAACUGAAAAAUCAUUACACUUUGAUUUCUUUCAUUACGCUGCAAAAAGUCGUCAUAUUGAUCCGGAUUACAACAAAUUUCUCAAGUUUCGCUUUUGCUGAACCAACUAAGAAAGGACAGCCAUGACCUCUGAAGCCCUUAGUGCUAUGUAGUUAGAACCGUCACUGCCCUUGAAAUCGUUUCCUGCAUAUUUGGAGUACAAAACUGUGUUCCCGGGGAUAACUGACAAUGGCUUCCUGUUACCUUCCUCAUCAAGGGGGCCAGGCCCGACUGCAAUCACCUGUAAUUGAAGAUGGAAA
Molecule: long non-coding RNA, 3016 nt
Filed under: Olea europaea subsp. europaea
Lineage: Eukaryota; Viridiplantae; Streptophyta; Magnoliopsida; Lamiales; Oleaceae
Source: RNAcentral